GGAGAGAUGGCUCAGUGGUUAAGAGCACUGACUGCUCUUCCAGAGGUCCUGAGUUCAAUUCUCAGCAACCACA
RNAcentral lists this transfer RNA (73 nucleotides) under Mus musculus (house mouse). RNAcentral describes it as "tRNA-Ser". The stretch from base 8 to 65 matches the Rfam family "tRNA", at positions 8 to 63 of the family's 71-position model. Rfam says of the family: Transfer RNA (tRNA) molecules are approximately 80 nucleotides in length. Their secondary structure includes four short double-helical elements and three loops (D, anti-codon, and T loops). Lineage: Eukaryota; Metazoa; Chordata; Mammalia; Rodentia; Muridae. The record is from RNAcentral.